RNAcentral lists this ribosomal RNA (408 nucleotides) under Bacillus sp. 180(2012). RNAcentral describes it as "partial 16S ribosomal RNA". It matches the Rfam family "Bacterial small subunit ribosomal RNA", at positions 981 to 1393 of the family's 1533-position model. The record is from RNAcentral. Lineage: Bacteria; Bacillati; Bacillota; Bacilli; Caryophanales; Bacillaceae.
CCGAUAMCCUGAUUUAUYGGAWCUGAYWYUMCCCUUCRGGGGACAGAGYGACAGGUGGUGCAUGGUUGUCGUCAGAGGGGGCGUGAGAUGUUGGGUUAAGUCCCGCAACGAGCGCAACCAAAGAUAAUWRRKUGCCAGCAUUCAGUUGGGCACUCUAAGGUGACUGCCGGUGACAAACCGGAGGAAGGUGGGGAUGACGUCWMMUCAUCAUGCCCCUUAUGACCUGGGCUACACACGUGCUACAAUGGAUGGUACAAAGGGCUGCAAAACCGCAAGGUCUAGCCAAUCCCAUAAAACCAUUCUCAGUUCGGAUUGUAGGCUGCAACUCGCCUACAUGAAGCCGGAAUCGCUAGUAAUCGCGGAUYAKYWUGCCGCGGUGAAUACGUUCCCGGGUCUUGUACACACCGA